This 256-nucleotide ribosomal RNA is filed under the name uncultured bacterium. RNAcentral describes it as "partial 16S ribosomal RNA". It matches the Rfam family "Bacterial small subunit ribosomal RNA", at positions 521 to 776 of the family's 1533-position model. The record is from RNAcentral.
UAAUACGUAGGGGGCAAGCGUUGUCCGGAAUUACUGGGCGUAAAGGGCACGCAGGCGGUAUAAUAAGUCAGAUGUGAAAGUUUACAGCUUAACUGUGAAAGUGCAUUUGAAACUGAUAUACUUGAGUCUCGGAGAGGUAAGCGGAAUUCCUAGUGUAGCGGUGAAAUGCGUAGAUAUUAGGAGGAACACCGGUGGCGAAGGCGGCUUACUGGACGAGUACUGACGCUCAUGUGCGAAAGCGUGGGGAGCAAACAGG